UCAAUGUCAUUGAUCUGUUUUGAAAUAUUCACAUUCAUCUGCUGAAUAGUGUCUCUCUCUUUCUGUAACUCGGUCAGGUUUGUCUCAUGCUUUAUUCUUUCUUCAUCAAUUUGAUUUUGUAGAUCUUCCUUGGCUUUUGUCAUUUCUUUUUUAGUUGUCUCCAGAUCAGCCUUCUCUUUAGAAACCAUUUCUUUCUCAAAUUCAGUUGCUUCUCUUUGCUUUUGGAUCUCAGCAAACAA
Molecule: long non-coding RNA, 239 nt
Organism: Astyanax mexicanus (Mexican tetra)
Lineage: Eukaryota; Metazoa; Chordata; Actinopteri; Characiformes; Acestrorhamphidae
Exons: 2
Source: RefSeq, a predicted model, not a curated record